This 497-nucleotide ribosomal RNA is filed under the name uncultured bacterium. RNAcentral's name for it is "partial 16S ribosomal RNA". It matches the Rfam family "Bacterial small subunit ribosomal RNA", at positions 28 to 507 of the family's 1533-position model. The record is from RNAcentral.
GACGAACGCUGGCGGCGUGCCUAAUACAUGCAAGUAGAACGCUGAAGAGAGGAGCUUGCUCUUCUUGGAUGAGUUGCGAACGGGUGAGUAACGCGUAGGUAACCUGCCUUGUAGCGGGGGAUAACUAUUGGAAACGAUAGCUAAUACCGCAUAACAAUGGAUGACACAUGUCAUUUAUUUGAAAGGGGCAAUUGCUCCACUACAAGAUGGACCUGCGUUGUAUUAGCUAGUAGGUGAGGUAAUGGCUCACCUAGGCGACGAUACAUAGCCGACCUGAGAGGGUGAUCGGCCACACUGGGACUGAGACACGGCCCAGACUCCUACGGGAGGCAGCAGUAGGGCAUCUUCGGCAAUAGGGGCAACCCUGACCGAGCAACGCCGCGUGAGUGAAGAAGGUUUUCGGAUCGUAAAGCUCUGUUGUAAGUCAAGAACGGGUGUGAGAGUGGAAAGUUCACACUGUGACGGUAGCUUACCAGAAAGGGACGGCUAACUACGUG